AAUAUUGCGCAAUGGGGGGCAACCCUGACGCAGCCAUGCCGCGUGAAUGAAGAAGGCCUUCGGGUUGUAAAGUUCUUUCGGUGAUGAGGAAGGGAGUUAUGUUAAUAGCAUAAUUCAUUGACGUUAGUCACAGAAGAAGCACCGGCUAACUCCGUGCCAGCAGCCGCGGUAAUACGGAGGGUGCGAGCGUUAAUCGGAAUAACUGGGCGUAAAGGGCACGCAGGCGGUGACUUAAGUGAGGUGUGAAAUCCCCGGGCUUAACCUGGGAAUUGCAUUUCAGACUGGGUCGCUAGAGUACUUUAGGGAGGGGUAGAAUUCCACGUGUAGCGGUGAAAUGCGUAGAGAUGUGGAGGAAUACCGAAGGCGAAGGCAGCCCCUUGGGAAUGUACUGACGCUCAUGUGCGAAAGCGUGGGGAGCAAACAGGAUUAGAUACCCUGGUAG
RNAcentral lists this ribosomal RNA (442 nucleotides) under uncultured bacterium. RNAcentral's name for it is "bacterial SSU rRNA". It matches the Rfam family "Bacterial small subunit ribosomal RNA", at positions 360 to 793 of the family's 1533-position model. The record is from RNAcentral.